AGCGAACGCUGGCGGCAGGCCUAACACAUGCAAGUCGAACGAACUCUUCGGAGUUAGUGGCGGACGGGUGAGUAACACGUGGGAACGUGCCUUUAGGUUCGGAAUAACUCAGGGAAACUUGUGCUAAUACCGAAUGUGCCCUUCGGGGGAAAGGAUUUAUCGCCUUUAGAGCGGCCCGCGUCUGAUUAGCUAGUUGGUGAGGUAAAGGCUCACCAAGGCGACGAUCAGUAG
RNAcentral lists this ribosomal RNA (231 nucleotides) under uncultured bacterium. RNAcentral's name for it is "partial 16S ribosomal RNA". It matches the Rfam family "Bacterial small subunit ribosomal RNA", at positions 29 to 286 of the family's 1533-position model. The record is from RNAcentral.